ACUCAAAGGAAUUGACGGGGGCCCGCACAAGCGGUGGAGCAUGUGGUUUAAUUCGAUGCAACGCGAAGAACCUUACCUACCUUUGAAUCCACGGAAUGCUGCAGAGAUGUGGCAGUGCCUUCGGGAACCGUGAGACAGGUGCUGCAUGGCUGUCGUCAGCUCGUGUCGUGAGAUGUUGGGUUAAGUCCCGUAACGAGCGCAACCCUUAUCCUUAGUUACCAUCGAGUAGAGUCGGGAACUUUAAGGAGACUGCCGGUGAUAAACCGGAGGAAGGUGGGGAUGACGUCAAGUCCUCAUGGCCCAUACAGGUAGGGCUACACACGUGCUACAAUGGCCGGUACAAAGGGUUGCGAACUCGCGAGGGGGAGCCAAUCUCAAAAAGCCGGUCGUAGUCCGGAUUGGAGUCUGCAACUCGACUCCAUGAAGCUGGAAUCGCUAGUAAUCGUGGAUCAGCACGCCACGGUGAAUACGUUCCCGGGCCUUGUACACACCGCCCGU
Molecule: ribosomal RNA, 498 nt
Filed under: uncultured bacterium
Lineage: Bacteria
Description: partial 16S ribosomal RNA
Rfam family: Bacterial small subunit ribosomal RNA
Source: RNAcentral